AGAAACCCCAGUGAUGAAAAAUACAGAUCCAUCCGCAUUGGAAACACAGCCUUUUCUACUAGACUCUUGCCUGUCAGAGGAGCUGUUGAGUGUUUAUUUGAAAUGGGCUUUGAAGAGAGAGGAUGCCUCCUCCACAUGGUCCCACCACUAUGAUAUUCUGCCUGGCUGUGGGCCCAGAAACAUGUUGCCAAGUAACUAGGGAGAAACACACCUUAUCUUUCCUAAAAAAGCUUCAGUGGAACAGCUUCAGAAAAUCCGUGACCUGAUUGCUGUAGAGAGAAGGAGCAGACUGGAUGGAUCAAGUCAGAAGGUGGAGUUCUCUCAGCACCCUGCUGCUGUCAGGCUUCCUGCCGAGCAGCCUGAGGAUCCUACAGGAUUAAUGCAGCACUCAGGAAACCAACCUGGGCAGCCGCUGAGCCUACCCUCUGCUCCACUGGUUGUUGGUGAUUCAACCAUCUUUAAAGUUCUUCAGUCCAACAUUCAGCACGUGCAGCUCUAUGAAAAUCCUGUCCUCCAGGAGAAAGCCUUGGCUUGUAUCCCAGUCA
This 545-nucleotide long non-coding RNA is filed under the name Rattus norvegicus (Norway rat). RNAcentral's name for it is "long non-coding RNA NONRATT010750". Lineage: Eukaryota; Metazoa; Chordata; Mammalia; Rodentia; Muridae. The record is from RNAcentral.